CCUACGGGUGGCAGCAGUGGGGAAUAUUGGACAAUGGGCGAAAGCCUGAUCCAGCCAUGCCGCGUGUGUGAAGAAGGCCUUCGGGUUGUAAAGCACUUUCAGUGGGGAAGAAAGCCUUGGGUCUAAUACCCUCGAGGAAGGACAUCACCCACAGAAGAAGCACCGGCUAACUCCGUGCCAGCAGCCGCGGUAAUACGGAGGGUGCGAGCGUUAAUCGGAAUUACUGGGCGUAAAGCGCGCGUAGGCGGUCUGAUAAGCCGGUUGUGAAAGCCCCGGGCUCAACCUGGGAACGGCAUCCGGAACUGUCAGGCUAGAGUGAAGGAGAGGAAGGUAGAAUUCCCGGUGUAGCGGUGAAAUGCGUAGAGAUCGGGAGGAAUACCAGUGGAGAAGGCGGCCUUCUGGACUGACACUGACGCUGAGGUGCGAAAGCGUGGGUAGCAAACAGGAUUAGAUACCCCAGUAGUC
Molecule: ribosomal RNA, 465 nt
Filed under: Vreelandella stevensii
Lineage: Bacteria; Pseudomonadati; Pseudomonadota; Gammaproteobacteria; Oceanospirillales; Halomonadaceae
Description: partial 16S ribosomal RNA
Rfam family: Bacterial small subunit ribosomal RNA
Source: RNAcentral